ACGGAUGGUCAAUUUCGUCUAUUGAGAAGUUCUCCAGGAACUCUUGGGCCACGGACGACCAAUCUUGUCUACUGGGAGAUUCUCCAGGAACUCCUAGGCCACGGACAACCGUUCUUGUCUACUGGGAGAUUCUCCAGGAACUCUUAGGCCACGGACAACCGUUCAUGCCUACUAGGAGGUCCACAAAUGAGCAACACCUAGAAGCACGCUCCCC
Molecule: long non-coding RNA, 214 nt
Filed under: Vigna radiata
Lineage: Eukaryota; Viridiplantae; Streptophyta; Magnoliopsida; Fabales; Fabaceae
Description: long non-coding RNA (VRAD_LNC008575)
Source: RNAcentral